CCUGCACCAUGUCUGUCUCAGCAGAGCUCAGUGGUGUCUGCACCAUGGCCUGGACUCCUCUCCUCUUCUUCCUCCUUCAUUGUACAGGGUCUUUCUCCCAACCUGUGCUGACUCAGUCACCCUCAGCCUCUGCCUCCCUUGGAGCCUCAACCAAACUGACCUGCACCUUGAGUAGUCAGUACAGCAGCUACAUCAUUCAUUGGUAUCAGCAACAUCCAGACAAGGCUCCUAAGGACGUGAUGUAUCUUAGGAGUGAUGGAAGCCACGGCAAGGGAGAUGGGAUCCCUGAUCGCUUCUCUGGCUCCAGCUCUGGUGCUCAUCGAUACUUGAGCAUCUCCAACUUGCAGCUUGAAGAUGAAGCUGACUACAUCUGUGGUGCAGAUUAUACCAUUAGUGGACAAUUUGGGUGGACACAGUGACCCAGAUAAAUGAGGAAGCGGGACAGGAACUACUUUGCUUUCUUGCUACCAAGAUUGGACUAUGAUUUUGAGAAGGAACCUCUGAAGUUCUUAGCUUUACAGUUAUUGUAUGUUUGCUGCUUAUUAUUCAAGAGGAUAGAUCCUAGGUUUAGCAAUUCCUCCCAAACUCCUGGGGAAAGUGGGGGUUGUAUAGAGUGCACAGCUCUGUAGUAGUAAUGACCAUGUAAAAGUUAAAACUGUACAGCUGAGGAGAUGAGAAUAUUCUCUUUACAAGCUGGAGAAGUGGGUCUAAGGUUCUCACAAUUACUCACCGAAGUUCAUAGGAAUGUUUUUUAUAAGAUGGCUUUCUUGUCUUAUGCUCUAAAUUUUUUUCACUACAGCAAGUUCCCAAGAAGCACAGUGUAAGAACAUUUAAGGUGACACUGUUGUUGAAGCCCCCUAU
Non-coding RNA from Peromyscus leucopus (white-footed mouse), 861 nucleotides. The record is from the annotation of a RefSeq genome assembly. NCBI's taxonomy places the organism in Eukaryota, Metazoa, Chordata, Mammalia, Rodentia, Cricetidae.